This 198-nucleotide non-coding RNA is filed under the name Aquamicrobium sp. LC103. The record is from RNAcentral. RNAcentral also lists the same sequence under 1 other name. Lineage: Bacteria; Pseudomonadati; Pseudomonadota; Alphaproteobacteria; Hyphomicrobiales; Phyllobacteriaceae.
UAUGCUCCACCCGUCGUCGGUUCCCGUAAGGGACGAAGAGGGAAUACGGUGCGGGCUUUUCGCCCAAUUCCGUUGCUGCCCCCGCAACUGUAAGCGGCGAGCUCGUUUCGAAUGCCACUGAGGCCGUUGCCUCGGGAAGGCGGAACACCAGAGCACCGACCCGCGAGCCAGGAGACCUGCCGUCGACAAUGACAACUC